CUGCGUACCUUUUGUAUAAUGGGUCAGCGACUUAUAUUCUGUAGCAAGGUUAACCGAAUAGGGGAGCCGAAGGGAAACCGAGUCUUAACUGGGCGUUAAGUUGCAGGGUAUAGACCCGAAACCCGGUGAUCUAGCCAUGGGCAGGUUGAAGGUUGGGUAACACUAACUGGAGGACCGAACCGACUAAUGUUGAAAAAUUAGCGGAUGACUUGUGGCUGGGGGUGAAAGGCCAAUCAAACCGGGAGAUAGCUGGUUCUCCCCGAAAGCUAUUUAGGUAGCGCCUCGUGAAUUCAUCUCCGGGGGUAGAGCACUGUUUCGGCAAGGGGGUCAUCCCGACUUACCAACCCGAUGCAAACUGCGAAUACCGGAGAAUGUUAUCACGGGAGACACACGGCGGGUGCUAACGUCCGUCGUGAAGAGGGAAACAACCCAGACCGCCAGCUAAGGUCCCAAAGUCAUGGUUAAGUGGGAAACGAUGUGGGAAGGCCCAGACAGCCAGGAUGUUGGCUUAGAAGCAGCCAUCAUUUAAAGAAAGCGUAAUAGCUCACUGGUCGAGUCGGCCUGCGCGGAAGAUGUAACGGGGCUAAACCAUGCACCGAAGCUGCGGCAGCGACGCUUAUGCGUUGUUGGGUAGGGGAGCGUUCUGUAAGCCUG
Molecule: ribosomal RNA, 654 nt
Filed under: Escherichia coli
Lineage: Bacteria; Pseudomonadati; Pseudomonadota; Gammaproteobacteria; Enterobacterales; Enterobacteriaceae
Description: partial 23S ribosomal RNA
Rfam family: Bacterial large subunit ribosomal RNA
Source: RNAcentral